AUUGAACGCUGGCGGCAUGCUUUACACAUGCAAGUCGAACGGCAGCGGGGGCUUCGGCCCGCCGGCGAGUGGCGAACGGGUGAGUAAUGCAUCGGAACGUGCCCAUGUCGUGGGGGAUAACUACGCGAAAGCGUAGCUAAUACCGCAUACGCCCCGAGGGGGAAAGCGGGGGACGUCUUCGGAGCCUCGCGCGAUUGGAGCGGCCGAUGCCGGAUUAGCUAGUUGGUGAGGUAAAGGCUCACCAAGGCGACGAUCCGUAGCGGGUCUGAGAGGAUGAUCCGCCACACUGGGACUGAGACACGGCCCAGACUCCUACGGGAGGCAGCAGUGGGGAAUUUUGGACAAUGGGGGCAACCCUGAUCCAGCCAUGCCGCGUGAGUGAAGAAGGCC
This 390-nucleotide ribosomal RNA is filed under the name uncultured bacterium. Its description in RNAcentral is "bacterial SSU rRNA". It matches the Rfam family "Bacterial small subunit ribosomal RNA", at positions 28 to 416 of the family's 1533-position model. The record is from RNAcentral.